RNAcentral lists this unclassified non-coding RNA (228 nucleotides) under uncultured Hanseniaspora. RNAcentral's name for it is "sequence contains ITS2". Lineage: Eukaryota; Fungi; Ascomycota; Saccharomycetes; Saccharomycodales; Saccharomycodaceae. The record is from RNAcentral.
CCUUCUCAAAAACCCAGUUUUUGGUUGUGAGUGAUACUCUGUUACAGGGUUAACUUGAAAAUGCUAUGCCCAUUUGGCUGCCCCUUCUCUGAGGGGACUGCGCGUCUGUGCAGGAUGUAACCAAUGUAUUUAGGUAUUCAUACCAACUUUCAUUGUGCGCGUCUUACGCAGUUGUAGUCCACCCAACCUCGGACACACUGGGCUGGCUGGGCCAACAGUAUUCAUAAA